CUUGCGGUCACAUCACAUUGAAACACGCGUUCCUGUACGAUCACCGAUGUUAAGCAACGUUAAGGCUGGUCAGUAACGAGAUGAGUUACCGCUUGGUAAUACCAGGUGCUGUAAG
Molecule: non-coding RNA, 115 nt
Organism: Acanthosepion pharaonis
Lineage: Eukaryota; Metazoa; Mollusca; Cephalopoda; Sepiida; Sepiidae
Source: the annotation of a GenBank genome assembly